AUGUGGAGAAGGAAAAAGAAUAAAAUAUCAAAGCUGAAGAAAAGUGAUGGGCGUUGGAUUGAGAAGGCCGAAGACAUACAAUCUGAGAUAAAUGGAUUUUUCACGGACUUGUACUGUAAGGAUGAGGAUGUCAAACCACAGGAGCUGCUGAACCUCUUUCCCUCGAGAGUGGAUGAUUCCAUGAACAUGGCGUUAACCAAACCGGUGACACCAGAGGAGGCUGGGGAUGCACUGUUUCAAAUUGGUCCCCUCAAGGCCCCAGGGCCGGAUGGCUUUCCAGCACGCUUUUUCCAACGGAAUUGGGGAGUAAUGAAGGAUGAGGUUACUGAUACAGUAAUAAAAUUCUUUGAAGAUGGGAUCAUG
RNAcentral lists this ribosomal RNA (363 nucleotides) under Triticum aestivum (bread wheat). RNAcentral's name for it is "partial small subunit ribosomal RNA". Lineage: Eukaryota; Viridiplantae; Streptophyta; Magnoliopsida; Poales; Poaceae. The record is from RNAcentral.